GGUUAUACUUAUAAUGCGAUAAAAAAAGUUCGGUAGGUAAUAAAUAGAGAUUUUUGAAUUAAUUUUUAAUUUUAUUAAGUGAAAUUUUUAAAAUUGAAAUAAAUUUGCAUAGAAUUUAUAAGGUUAAUAAAUUUAGGUUUUAGACUAGGAUUAGAUACCCUAUUAUUCUAAAUAAGAUUUAAGUCUCUUGGUUAGUAGUAGUUAUGGUCUUGAAAAUUAAAGAAGUUGGCGGUAUUUUAGUCUAUUCAGAGGAACCUGUCCUGUAAUUGAUGAUCCACGUUUUUUUUUACUUAUUUUAUUAAUUUGCAUAUCGCCGUAGAUUGAAUAUUUUUAUAAAAUUAUAAUGUUCAAUAUUUUUUAUGAGAAAAGAACUCAGGUCAAGGUGUAGUUUAUAGAUAAGAAGAGAUGGGUUACAAUAAAUUUAUUUAAAGACGGAUUAAUAAUUGAAAUUUUAUUAUAAAGGUGGAUUUGAGGGUAAUUUUAUUUAAAUUAAUAAGAUGAUUUGAGCUCUAAAAUAUGUACAUA
This 525-nucleotide ribosomal RNA is filed under the name Tetrabothynus spectabilis. Its description in RNAcentral is "partial 12S ribosomal RNA". Lineage: Eukaryota; Metazoa; Arthropoda; Insecta; Coleoptera; Curculionidae. The record is from RNAcentral.